ACUGGACUGAAGAUGGUGACUGUCUGUCCAUGUCUGUCCUUCCCAUCAGCCUGGGGACUUAACCUCCGUGUCGCCAGCAUUACCUAGCGCAGGGCCUGGCACCCUGGAGGCCUCAGGGUGGGCAAAACCAGGGUCACAAAGUUGACACUGAUACUGCCCCUGCCUGCUUAGGGAGUGGGCUGGGGAAGAGGGUACAGGAGCCAGACUUGAGCAUGAAAGUGUCAGUGAUGAUAGCAGCCAGCAUUUAGCGGGUACUUACGUGGCAGGCAUCGUUCCAAGUCCUUUGCAGAGAUUAACCCAUUCAGUCCUUUCAGUACCCUUUGUAUUAUUUAUUAUUUAUUUUUACUUUUUGAGACGGAGUUUUGCUCUUUUUGCCCAGGCUGGAGUGCAAUGGCGGAGGUUGCAGUGAACCGAGAUCGUGCCACUGCACUCCAGCCUGGGUGACAGAGGGAGACUCCGUCUCACAAAAAAAAA
This 474-nucleotide small RNA is filed under the name Pan troglodytes (chimpanzee). Its description in RNAcentral is "sense intronic". Lineage: Eukaryota; Metazoa; Chordata; Mammalia; Primates; Hominidae. The record is from RNAcentral.